UAGUUACACUUAUAUUGUAAUUAAUUCGGAGUACAAGAACAUUUCUCUAUAUAAGGACAUAUAAUAUCAAAUAAAUAUACACUGAUUAUGGUGAAAUCAAUGAAAAAAACUUUAAAUCAAUAUUUAAAAAAACUUUAAAAACAAUUCCUUCAAUAUUCAAAAGCAUCAAAUGUGGGACGAAUAACAAAAAUUUUUGAAAUGGAAUGGAAUCGCUUAACAAAGAAAAAAAAUAUUUAAAAUAUAACAAAAUAUCAUUAAAUAAAAAAUUUAUAAAUGGAUUAGAUUCUAUACUGAUACUGAUUGGAUUUAAUCAAACGGCACAAUCAUAUACAUUUUUUUUGGUUACAUCAACGUUUUGAAACUAAUAAGAACUAAAUGUAGUCUUUUCGGUGAACCCGAUCCCGAAACCGUAUUGCUUAAUAAGGAAUAAGGAAUAAGGAAUACAACAAUAAUGUUCACUAGUUGAAGACUACAAACUCUAAAUCAAAGCUUAUAAAGCAACCGCAACAAUUCACGAAAAAAUCAGAUAAGGAUCGAAUAAAAAAUUUAAAAACAGAAAAUAGUAAUUAAACGCUAACUUCGAGUUAAAUGAUGGAUAUUAAAGCAAUUUGAAGUAAAAUUCAUGAAGUUUAACAAUAGAAGCUACGUACAUUUGCACGGCAAGGCAUCAACUUGAUGGAAGAACAUACCUGACAAAUUUAGAAUAUUUUAAACUUUUUUUUUGAAUGGAUGCCUUAGUUUUAAAAAUUUACUUUAUUUAAACCAAUACCAUUGGAGAAUGG
Long non-coding RNA from Teleopsis dalmanni, 782 nucleotides. RefSeq lists it as uncharacterized. NCBI's taxonomy places the organism in Eukaryota, Metazoa, Arthropoda, Insecta, Diptera, Diopsidae. The record is from RefSeq and is a predicted model, not a curated record. The transcript has 3 exons.